This 2401-nucleotide ribosomal RNA is filed under the name Gnorimosphaeroma noblei. RNAcentral describes it as "SSU rRNA". It matches the Rfam family "Eukaryotic small subunit ribosomal RNA". The record is from RNAcentral. Lineage: Eukaryota; Metazoa; Arthropoda; Malacostraca; Isopoda; Sphaeromatidae.
CAAAGAUUAAGCCAUGCAUGUCUAAGUACAGGCCUACCCAAGGCGAAACCGCAAAAGGCUCAUUAAAUCAGUCAUGAUUCAAUGGAUGUUGUUAAAAACUCUUACUUGGAUAACUGUGGUAAUUCUAGAGCUAAUACGUGCAAUCGAGCUCCGACCCUGCCGUCAAAGGCGGGGGAAGGGCGCUUUUAUUAGAUUCAAAACCGAGCGGACUGCGGUCCGUCUCCCAUAAAGAGCUGUGAUGACUCUGAAUAACCUAGCCGAGCGCUGAGGCCUUUGAGCCGGCGCCGUAUCCUCCGAGUGUCUGCCUUAUCAGCUGUCGAUUGUAGGUUAUACGCCUACAAUGGCUGUAACGGGUAACGGGGAAUCGGGGUUCGAUUCCGGAGAGGGAGCCUGAGAAACGGCUACCACAUCUAAGGAAGGCAGCAGGCACGCAAAUUACCCACUCCCGGCACGGGGAGGUAGUGACGAWAAAUAACGAUGCGGGACUCUUCCGAGGCCUCGCAAUCGGAAUGAGUUCACUCUAAAMMCUUGGACGAGGAUCCAUUGGAGGGCAAGUCUGGUGCCAGCAGCCGCGGUAAUUCCAGCUCCAAUAGCGUAUAUUAAAGCUGCUGCGGUUAAAAAGCUCGUAGUUGGCUGUUCGAUCUGUACCGGCGGCCCACCCAAGGCGCUAACCCCACAAAGAUUUCCUAUCGGUUAGGGAGUGACGUUCGGCGCAGUUCUUUUCGCUCGUUCCGACCCUCGCACGCACGCCGCGCUCGCUCGUUUCGGUGCCGGGGCUCGUUCCCCCAUCCGUGCGACGAUAACGUGGUGGUGGUGCUUGACGUCGGCGACGUUAUCCUACGUCCGAUUUCGUUAAACCCGCCGGGGACGUCUAGUGGCUAUUAAGCGCCCGGUGGUCAACCCGUUCGGAUACGGAUUUGUCAAAAUACGCCGGCUCUCACGGGGUGCUCUUUACCGAGUGUCUCGCGUGGCCGACGACGUUCACUUUGAAAAAAUUAGAGUGCUCAAAGCAGGCAWAAAUYWWCGCCUGAAUKWYGAUGCAUGGAAUGAUGGAAYAGGACCUCGGUUCUUUGYWUUUUYUCUCGGUUUUUCCCGGAACCCGAGGUAAUGAUUAACGGGAACGGACGGGGGCAUUAGUAUUGCGACGCUAGAGGUGAAAUUCUUGGACCGUCGCAAGACUAACUACUGCGAAAGCAUUUGCCAAGAACGCUUUCAUUAGUCAAGAACGAAAGUUAGAGGAUCGAAGGCGAUCAGAUACCGCCCUAGUUCUAACCUUAAACGAUGCUAACUGGCGAUCCGCUUACGUCAUUCCCACGACUGAGCGGGGAGCCCCCGGGAAACCAAAGUCUUUGAGUUCCGGGGGAAGUAUGGUUGCAAAGCUGAAACUUAAAGGAAUUGACGGAAGGGCACCACCAGGAGUGGAGCCUGCGGCUUAAUUUGACUCAACACGGGGAACCUCACCAGGCCCGGACACCGGAAGGAUUGACAGAUUGAGAGCUCUUUCUCGAUUCGGUGGGUGGUGGUGCAUGGCCGUUCUUAGUUGGUGGAGCGAUCUGUCUGGUUGAUUCCGAUAACGAACGAGACUCUACCCUGCUAACUAGUCGGUGGAUCGUCUCCCGAGACGGGUCCUACCGGGGCGUUUUGGCGUGUUGGCGGGGCCUUCCGUCCGCGGCGUACUUCCGUUCGCGCUUGGUGGUUACCGGCGUCGUCUGUCGCCUUUUUCCGCGUCGCCUCGCUCGCGUGCCUCCCUGCCCGUUCUCGCGCGGCCGGCUUCGGCGUGUCGUUUUGCUGUUUAACCGCAGUACUACGCGCGUCGGCGUCGCCGUCGAGGAUUGUGGUAUAGGGGCGCGGGAUGUUGGCGGCGGGGGUGGGAAUGACGGCUGGCGUCGGGCUCCAGGACGUGUAGCGGGCCAAAAGGCGUCGCGGGUCGCGGGAUGGUCGCGCCCGCGUCGGGGUUCCGUGCGUAGGGCCCAGCGAGGGGCGUCCAUCGCAGCAUCUUCUUAGAGGGAUCGGCGGCGUCCAGCCGCACGAGAGAGAGCAAUAACAGGUCUGUGAUGCCCUUAGAUGUUCUGGGCCGCACGCGCGCUACAAUGAAGGGAUCAGCGUGCUCUCCCCCUCCGAAAGGAGCGGGUAACCCGAUGAAACCCCUUCCCGAUUGGGAUUGGGGAUUGUAAGUGUUUCCCAUGAACGAGGAAUUCCCAGUAAGCGCAAAGUCAUCAGCUUGCGAUGAUUACGUCCCUGCCCUUUGUACACACCGCCCGUCGCUACUACCGAUUGAAUGAUUCAGUGAGGGCAUCGGACUGGCGCCCUCGGUAGCUUUCGGUUCGCGCAAUGCGUCUUAUUAAUCCCCUCACGGGGGUUGGCGGGCGCGGGCCGACGGCAUCCCCGGGACUGACGGAAA